RNAcentral lists this non-coding RNA (30 nucleotides) under Homo sapiens (human). Lineage: Eukaryota; Metazoa; Chordata; Mammalia; Primates; Hominidae. The record is from RNAcentral.
CCUCAACUGCUUCAGUCACUAACUGGUGAU